GGGCGGGUGGCCGAGCGAGGUAAGGCACCCAGCUAUUAGGUUGGGCGACGUGGGUUCGGAUCCCCGCCCCACCCA
RNAcentral lists this transfer RNA (75 nucleotides) under Nitrososphaerota archaeon. RNAcentral's name for it is "Thaumarchaeota archaeon tRNA-OTHER". It matches the Rfam family "tRNA". Rfam says of the family: Transfer RNA (tRNA) molecules are approximately 80 nucleotides in length. Their secondary structure includes four short double-helical elements and three loops (D, anti-codon, and T loops). Further hydrogen bonds mediate the characteristic L-shaped molecular structure. tRNAs have two regions of fundamental functional importance: the anti-codon, which is responsible for specific mRNA codon recognition, and the 3' end, to which the tRNAs corresponding amino acid is attached (by aminoacyl-tRNA synthetases). tRNAs cope with the degeneracy of the genetic code in two manners: having more than one tRNA (with a specific anti-codon) for a particular amino acid; and 'wobble' base-pairing, i.e. permitting non-standard base-pairing at the 3rd anti-codon position. The record is from RNAcentral. Lineage: Archaea; Thermoproteati; Nitrososphaerota.